Molecule: unclassified non-coding RNA, 207 nt
Filed under: uncultured Chloroflexota bacterium
Lineage: Bacteria; Bacillati; Chloroflexota
Description: uncultured Chloroflexi bacterium contains 16S-23S intergenic spacer region
Rfam family: Bacterial small subunit ribosomal RNA
Source: RNAcentral
UGGGCUUGACAUGCACGUGGUAAAAGCCGGAAACGGUGAUGACCCGCAAGGGAGCGUGCACAGAUGCUGCAUGGCUGUCGUCAGCUCGUGCCGUGAGGUGUUGGGUUAAGUCCCGCAACGAGCGCAACCCUCGCUGCCAGUUACCAUGUCUGGCGGGACCGCCGGGUCCAACCCGGAGGAAGGUGGGGAUGACGUAGCUAAGCCUUC